AUUAUCAUGAUGUCAUUGUCACAAUUUAACAAAUUAACAUCUGAAGCCUAUUUCUUGGACAAUUGCUCCUUUGGAUGACAAUUUCUGACAACCGUGUGGAAAAAUGUCACUUCAAUUUCCCUGCUAUGAAACUGCUAUGAAACACUCCAUUGACGGAUAUAUCGUAUCGGUGAGCUUUGUACCUCCCAAAAAUCGGAAUCCGUAUCCCCAAAAAACAUAUUGUUCGUGCUCUAAGUGCGAGUGUCAUAACAAGCGCUCUGAGCUCACAGAGUGUACCACAGAGAGGGAGGGAGUGACGAGGAAGCGGAUAGGAUGAGAAGGGAGGGAGGGAAAGAGAGCAGGAGAGGGCUAGAGCAGUGAAGCUGCAAGCAGCCUGAAGAUAAAGCGUUUCCCUCUGUCGUUGCCUGCGAGCCAGGGAGAGAACAAACGAGAGAAGCCAGGCGAGAGAGAGGGAGAGGAAUACAAGGCUGCCUGCUGUUACUGUGUCUCCUGGCUUUCCUUGGACCUACAGGCCUCGACUCAAAUGCGCACACAGAGGAUUCAUACACACACCCACAGCUGAUCAGAGGAUCGCCAAGCCCGGUCGGCACACACAGACACGCUCUUGCUCUCUCCUCGGCUGCACACGCACACACAUUUCCCUUCUCUCCCGGGAGCACCGUAUAAAUUGGAUCAAUCCGACCAUGCCUGUCUGACGGGGACCUUGUUCUCCCUUCAUCCGAAUCCCCCCUUUCCUCCUCUAUCUCUCGCUGUAACCAGCCAAGGAGCGCCAGACUACCGGACUUAUCCUCUGCCUUUUGCCUUACCCAGUCAGCUGCUCGUUUACUGGCCGCGUCAGGGGGACAGCUAUAGCUGGGGGACACUGGACCUACCCUCACAAAGUCUAACCUAGCCUCCUGUAGCUUAGCCCAGCCCAGCCACCACUGGUAAUUCGAUCAACCAGACCAGAGGAGACGAGUGGAGAGGGAAGUGCAUGUUUAACCCAACCGCCUGUCUAUCUGCUUGGUUGUCUGCAACCAGACCCUCUUUGCGUGCACGCCUGUGGACUCCUACUGGGAACACAUACAGACCUGGAUGAGUGUGGAGGCUUUAUAUACUGGAGCAGUGUCGCGACGACGGCUGCAGCAGGGAUGACGGAAAAAGCCUGCCUGGCUGAGAGACGGUGACAAGGAUGGAGACGGACUGAGGGGUUAGUGAUUGGAUAGCACCAGCCACGAGCACGCUCUCCCAGCAAUCCUUUGUGGGAGGGAGCAUAAGGGGAAGGCUGCUAUCCAGGGGGGAGGCCACGUGACGUCUGGAAAGCUAAAGGGGAUGAUCUCCACUCCCUAACGCGACGUGCUCUGGAUUUUAACCUGGUACAGCACCAGAGUCUAAACUACAGGGACCACUGUCAAGAGUUGUCCGGCUUUUCCGUGAUUGCAGUCAUUUGAAGGAUUGUCGAAGAAGGAUUGUCGAAGAAGGUAGUAACGCCUACAGUUCAGUAGCUCAUCGCCUCUCUUCCUGGUCCCAUGGUCACCCUCAUCACCUGGAGUCUUCCAAGUCAGCACCGUAACGUUGACUCAACGCUCAUCUAACACCCCCCCCCCCCACCCCCAGGAGGUUUCCCUUCGUACUAAGACGACAAAGAGAUCUCUGUGGUUAACAACCGUGUGAACUGAAUUAAUCAAGCGUCACAUGACACAGCGACUCCAUGAACAGGGGGGAGGGGGGGACCGUGGGAGAUGGCGAGGAGUCUGAGCCGCCGCCGUCGUCAAGGCUCUGAUUUGAGGUUUUGAACAGUUGGCCGACUGUCCGCUAUCGCCCACCUCCAAUCUGGAUAGUGGAUAGUAGCAGAAUGGGACACCACCAGCUGCUACAAGGCUAAUGCGAUCACUGCUACUACUAUGAGUGUUGUUGACCAUUAAGGAGCUGACAGCAAUGUGAUUAUCGUAGGAGCGGCGAGGUAUUAAUAAUAUAUGAUUCUGGGUACUUGGAGGCGAGCCUGGAUAAAGUACUUGGAUUACAGUACCACCGGAACGACAGGGAAAACAAAUAGCAAACAAACUGCGCGUGUGUUCAGGGUUGCGGAAACAGAGCAGAAUUGCAGAUGACCUGAGUUGUUUUUAUUUUAUUUUUGUUGCCGAGCGACUGGUACGAUGUGCACUGAGCCGGACACACUGCUUGUGUGAGUGUGUGUCUGCACUGCAGCUCCCUCGCACCACUCACUCUAAGACAUUGCAGCUAUGAGAUGAGACGAGCACUGAUUCCAUCGCAGGCAACGCAGGAGACCCCACGGACUAAUCGAACACAGUCCGACAUUGUGUGUGUUAAAUGACUGAUUGGGUGAAAUGGACACAUCUGCAGUGCUCUGACUCACCGUCUCCUAGCCUCAUUCAACAUGUAGUAUGUAUGAGCCACGUUGACCUUACGUUCCCACCUGCCAAACCUUGGAUGAAUGAACUACCAAAGCCUGAGCCAAAUCGAUUUUCUCUUAUGCUGUGCUGAGUCUACUGACAUGUUUCUGCCUCGGUUGUCCUUGAAGUGAGUGCUGGGAUGUCCGUGACCUGCCCAUAGAGGUGGGGGCCUCGGAGAGCGAGCCAGAGCAGCUAGGGCUGAUCGCAGUGUUUCCUGAGCCUGUGUGAGGUGAGGCAACAGCUGCAGAGAGAAGAGGGGGAGGGAAGACUGGGAGAGGAGCGCCUACGGAGAGACGAGAGCUGUGACACGCAAGCCUGCAGCAAGCACCUCGGCCGAGUGGACUGAACCCGAAGGUGAGAAGGUGACGAGAGCCCACAUCCUCGCUCUAUCAUUCUGUCAUUUUUAUCUAUGCUCCUGGCAAACAGUCAGAUCUAAACCGGCUGUCGCUACACGUCACACCGAGAGCAGGUGUCACCUUGGUAUCAGAUUCGUCUGUCACUCUCUGCUACUCUCGUCUGCCUGUCCACCAGAGCGCUUCUGUUUUGCUUUCUAAUUUUGCCGCCUCUUCCCUUCCCUCCUUCAUUCACGGUCUAUCUGAGAUGGGAAGCUCCAUGGGUUGUGUGAGGCCUCCUAGGGAGGGAGGACACGGCUUCCCCCCACUGUCCCCCAACCCCAAACGACGCCUCCGCUUCCGGCGGAGACGCAAAGGGAAGAAGCACCAGAAAGGAGGGUCGUCGGUCGGCUCGGAAGUGGAAAGCAUAAGGAUAAGCAACAUACCAGAGGAAGAGGAUGAGGAGGAAGAGGACAAAGGUACCGUCACGGAGGCAACCACCGCGUCGUUCAAAACUAUGAGUGACGUCGGCGCCAAAAUCGCCAAUUUAACCGUGCCUCAGGCUCAAACUCAAUCCAGACUGCCGCUGCCCAGUGCUCUCUGUGCUGACUCCACGAGUGACAGCAUGGGGGGGUUGGGUGGUAGCAGAGUGCUGGAAGUGUCCCCUGAGCCAAGCCCAGUGUGGAGAAGGCUGUCCUACCCCGGAGCUGGGAGUGAGGAAGGGGGGACGAGCAGUACCAUAGAUGCCUCAAGCAGCCAAGGGCAACCCAGUGGCAACCCCACCCUAGACAACCCUGACAACCCUGACCCAGCUGUCCCGUCCCAGGUGCACACCACCCCUGGCGGGGGUCAAGUCUGCAAAGUCAGGGAGAGAGAACAAGGGGUCCUGGAGAGGCCUUGCAUACGAAGACCCAAGAAAGAGAGGGAAAGAGAAAAGAAACGAGAACAGGAGGAGAAAGAGGUGGAGGAUGAAGGCGGGGGGCGGGGUAGCGGGGACGCUGGGGGCUGCUUUUAACACCCCUCCGGAAAAGGAGCGCAAAGGGGUGGUCCACAUUCGUGAGGUGGGGGGCUUGCUGUGUGUUGUAAGGACAGUCUACCCCAGUGACUUUGGGUCCCCGGUUUGGAGAGGGGACAGUUACCAUGACAACGAGGUGGAAGUAGAGGUGCGUGCCGAACCUCCAGCCGCAUCCCCAGUGACUGGGAACAUCCUCAAAGUACAGCUUUCUGAGGAGGACAUCAUGAGAGCCGAAAUUGCCGCCUCCUGUCUCAAUAAGACAAAAGUCAAGGAAGGCACAGUGACUGGAAACAAAGUACAACUCUCUGAGGAGGACAGCAGGAGAGCCAAAAUGGAUGCCAGGACCGCUUUCCUGAUGGGGACCCAAGAAACUACAGAAGUCAAGGAACUUAGUCUGGAUAAACCAGCCCAGGUCCAAGAGGGGCUAUUAAUUCAGAACCCUUUUGCCUCUGGCUAUGCCAGCGAUCUGCUACUCACCUCCCCAGAGGCAGGGGGCGCCACCCAGGUAGGCAGGGUUGGCCUGACCCAAAGGAGAGACAAUAUGGACACCUCCGGUCCCAGUAUGACUACCAACCUUACGGGGACCCAGGAAACCACGAAAGUCGAGGGACCCUCGUUACAGGACCCUCUGUCCUCAGGCUAUGCCAGCGACCUCCCACUAACCUCCCCAGAGGCAGGGGGCGCCACCCAGGGAGACUGGGAAAGCUCCAGAGAGGGACUGGACUCUGCAACAGACAGUCCUCUAUCUCCACCCCAGGUCCCCACAAAGCAGUUCCCUCAGAUCUCGGAGAUCUAUGUGAGCGGUGAGUCUGGGGACCUGACGGCUAAGGAGAAGCUGUUGUUAUGGAGCCAGAAGGCCACAGAGGGCUGGCCUGGCCUCCGCUGUACCAACUUCUCCUCCUCCUGGAGCGACGGGCGCAUGUUCAACGCCCUGCUCCACCGAUUCAGGCCAGACCUGAUUGACAUGGAGGUGGUGGCGCAGCAGAGUAACCUUGACAACCUGGAGCAGGCCUUUGAGAUCGCAGAGUCACUAGGGGUGACCAGACUUCUGGACGCUGAAGAUGUGGACGUUCCGUCUCCAGAUGAGAAGUCGGUCAUCACGUACGUCUCCUCCAUCUACGAUGCCUUCCCCAAGAUCCCAGAGGGAGGAGAGGGCAUCGCAGCACACGAGGUGGACCACCGCUGGGCAGAGUACCGCUCUCGUUUCUCCAUGCUGCUCCAGUGGAGCCGGCAGCACAAGGCCCUCAUGGCCAACAAGAACUUCCCACUGGACCCUGUGGAGCUCAAGGCACUUUACAAUGAGUACGUCCAUUUCAAGGAGACCGAGAUCCCUGCCAAGGAGCUGGAGAAGAGUCGCGUAGAACACCUCUACAAACUGCUGGAGGUAUGGAUGGAGUUUGGGCGCAUCAAGCUGCCCCUGGGCCUGCACCCCAACGACCUGGAGGAGGAGUGGGGCAAGCUGAUCCUGGAGAUGCUAGAGAGAGAGAAGGCCCUGAGGCCCGCUGUGGAGAGACUGGAGUUAUUGCUGCAGAUGGCCAAUAAAAUCCAGAACAUGGCCUUGGAUUGUGAGGAGAAACUCACCCUGGCCAAGAACACACUACAGGCCGACAUGUCCCUGGUGGAGAGUGGUGAGGCUGUGCGUUGUGAGAGGGAGCUGGGCUUGUACCUGCAGGACUGUGAGGUUCUGAUCAGACAGCUCAACCUGGACCUCAACAUCCUCCGAGACGAGAAGUACUACCAGGUGGAGCAGCUCGCCUUCAGAGCGUCCUGUCUCCACGAGGAGCUGGUCUCUCUCCGGCUCCAGUGCUCCAGCGUCUACAGGAAGGGCCACUUCUCCCCGGUGACGGGGGGAGACCGGACGGCCCUGCGGGGGAGCGACAGUGGUCUCUCCCUGUCCACGGGGGCCCAGACCCUGCUGGGGGCAGUGGGGGCGAUGGGGGCAGCGUUGCUCAGGAGACCCAUGUCCCGCUCUCAGCUGGUGGCCAUGUCGUCCUCGGAGGACGAAGGAAGUCUCCGGUUCAUCUAUGAGCUCCUGGGAUGGGUGGAGGAGACACAGGACGUGCUGGAGCGUGCCGAGUGGGGGGCGGACCUGCCCUCUGUAGAGCAGAACCUCCAGGACCACCAGAACGUCCACACUGCCGUGGAGGAGCUCCUGCACAGCCUGAAGGAGGCCCGCAACUACGAGACCAAAGUCUCUCCGAACUUCAGGAGCAGUUAUUCUGACACUCUGGCCAAGCUAGAGCAUCUAUACUGCAAACUACUGGAACUCUCGUCAUGGCGUCUGCGCUGCCUGGAGAGCCUGCAUGCGUUUGUGUGUCACUGUACAGAGGAGCUGAUCUGGCUCAACGAGCGAGAAGAGGAGGAACUGGCCUACGACUGGAGUCAAAACAAUACAAACGUCAAUGCCAAGAGAGAGCUAUAUGCCGAAAUGAGGUCAGAGCUGGAGGAGAAACAGGAAGUGAUGCACUCGCUGCAGGAAACAGCUGACCGGCUCUGUCAGGAGAACCACCCGGCCAAACAGACAGUGGAGGCGUACAGUGCAGCGCUGCAGACCCAGUGGCAGUGGGUACGCCAGCUGUGUGUGUGCGUGGAGCAGCAUCUCAAAGACAAUACUACCUACUUCCAGUUUGUGAGUGACGCACGGGACUGCGAGACGUACCUGCGUCAGCUCCAGGACACCAUAAAGAGGCAGUACACCUGUGACAAGAGCAGCAGGCUGGGCAAGCUGGAGGACCUGCUGCAAGACUCUAUGGAGGAGAAGGAGCAGCUGAUUGAGUACCGCAGCUCGGUGGCCAGCCUGGUGGGCCGGGCCAAGACGGUGGUGCAGCUCCGCCCCCGCAGCGCAGAGAGCACCCUGGGAAGCACCACGCCCAUCCGCGCCAUCUGUGACUACCGGCAGAUAGAGGCUAACGCUCAGAUCACCAUCAGCCGAGGUGAGGAGUGUGUGUUGGCGGACAACUCUCAGAGGACUAAAUGGAAGGUGAUCAGCCCCAGUGGAAACGAGGCUAUGGUGCCGUCAGUCUGCUUCACCGUACCACCGCCCAACCAGGAGGCCAUGGACACCGCCAGCAGGAUGGAGCAGCUGUACCAGAACGUGAUGUCUCUAUGGCACAAUCUACACGUCAGCAUGAAGAGUGUGGUCUCCUGGCACUACCUGCAGAAAGACAUCAGGACCGUGUCCUCUUGGAGCCUGGACACGGUACGUUCCCAGACCCCUGUGGCGAGGGAGCAGGCUCUGGACCACCUGGAGGCCCACCUGGCUGACUUCCUCUCUGACAGCAAAGAGAGCGGCCUCUUCACCCCGACCGAGAGACGCGAGCUGGAGAGAGACGCCCACACCGCCCAGGAACACUGCCAGGACCUGCUGGUCAACAUGGAGACGGUCGAGAAGGAUGAGUCUGUCUCUCGGUCCUACCUGUCAGAGCUCCAGAACAUUAAACUGCGUCUGGAGGAGGCGGAGCAAAGGCUGAUGCGUGGCAUUCAGACUCCUCCCCCUAGCAACCGAUCGGGUGACAGCAUCGACAACACUGUUCAAAUUGCAGAGCAGGAGAAGCUGCAGUCAGACCUGGAUGGUCUGCGGACCAGUGUUGGUGAGGUGUCGCGUCGCUGUGUGAGUUUCUUUGAGGAGAAGCCCACCUCCUCCAGUGUCCCCGUGCUGCGCUCUGAACUCAACCUGGCUGUGGAGAAGAUCGACAGACUGCACAACCUCUCCUCCGUCUACCUGCACAAGCUGAAGUCCGUAGAUGUGCUGAUGUACAGCUUGCAGGCCGCCGAGAGCCAGGUGAAGAGGUACGAGAGCAGGCUGAGUGAGGAGGAUAUCGUCCCUGCAGACACCAACGCCAUCCAGGCCCUACGGGAACAAUUGGGGACGUGGCAGUCGGAGCUUGAGGACCAGGAAGGGGUGUUUAGCUCCCUGCAGUCAGAGGUACAGAAGGCCCGAGAGGCGGGGACUCAGCUGAACAGGCUCCACCCAGACCGCAGCCCGGAGCUGGAGCGCUACCAGGAGAAAGCCGCCCAGCUCACCGAGAGGUGGGCCGGAGUCAAGAGACAGAUGGACACACGGCGAGGGGAGCUGGAAGCCCUGGGCUCGAUCCUGCAGCAGUACAGAGAUGGUCACUCUGCUCUGAUCCACUGGAUAGAGGAGACCACUGAGAGACAGGAAAACACCCAGCCUGGAAAGACUGACAGCAAAGUCCUGUCUGAACAACUAGCACAACAAACGGCAUUAGUAGCCGACAUCGAAAAGAACCAGACCAAACUGGAUGAGUGCCAAACGCACUCAAAACAGUAUUGCACCUCUGUGAAGGACUACGAGCUGCAGCUGAUGACAUUCAGAGCAUUUGUGGAGUCGACGCAGAAGUCGACCGGGAAGAGGAGGAGGAUGCACUCUUCAUCAGACGCCAUCACGCAGGAGUUCAUGGACUUGCGCACGCGCUACACAGCCCUGGUUACCUUGACGACGCAGCACGUCAAGUACAUCAGCGAUGCACUGAGGAGGCUAGAGGAAGAAGAGAAAGAGGUGGAGGAGGAGAGGCAGCAGAGGGUAGGCCAGGUGUCAGAGCUGCUGGGCUGGGUCAAGGGCCUCCAGGGCCGAGCAGGGGACCCCUCCGCCGAGUCAUCCAUCGCAGCGCAGGAGGCCGUGAGUGAGCAGUUAGCGGCUAAGAAGGAGGAGGUGGCUAAGGUUAUCAGGAACACCCAAGUCUUCCUGAUGUCGAAACAGGCCAGCAAGUUGUCCCCAGAGGAACGUGCCCAGGUAACCUCCCAGCUGGACGAACUGACUGCCACCUACAGCCUGCUGUGUGACAGUUCCACCGCCCAACUGCAACAGCUGGUGCAACAGCAGGCCAAAGAGGAGCAGAGAAAGAGCCAAUCUGCCAUUGGCGGAGUUAUUGACCUGGGCACCAUGGAAACCGUCCCAGUCUUCCAAGCUGCACAGCGUGGCCUCAUAGACCUGGACACCUGCCAUGUCUUGUUGGAGGCCCAGCUCACCGUGGGCGGGUUGUUUCAGCCUGACUCCCCUGUGAGCCUAUCACUGGAAGAGGGCCUCAACUGUGGCCUGAUUGAUAGUCGCAUCAGCCAAUCCCUAUCAGAGCUAGAGAGUGCCUUGCAUCUUGUCGACCAGACAGAACAAUUGGAGGGCCAGCUCCUCCCAGUGGCUGCAGCCAUGGAGGCGGGCCUUAUCAAAGAGGAGGUGGGGCUGCGUAUCCUGGAGCUGCAGAUAAACACAGGAGGCCUGAGGGAUUUAGGAGAAGGUAGACUAACCUUGAAUAGUGCUGGAGAGAUGGGCCUGCUGACCCCAAGGGUCUACACCAAGCUCGGGUCACGGGUCAAUCGGCGGGAGCUUAUUGACCCCAACACAGCCGAUAAACUGAAUCUGUCUGAACUGCGGCAGCGCUGCGUCCUCAGCGAUGACACCGGCUUGUAUCUGCUGCCAGUGAAACAGCAGCCAGGAGGAACAGUCUGUCUCCGAUCUGGCAGGAAGGUCGGGAUCUUCCGUGCCGUCCAAGAGGGACUGAUUGACAGGCAAGUAGCAGUGAGAUUACUGGAGGCCCAGCUGUUUGCUGGUGGCAUCUCUGACCCCCGUUCUGGGCAUCUUCUGACUGUGAACGAUGCUGUGCGUCACAAUCUGAUGGACCAGGACCUGGCCUGUGCCAUGCUGACCCGCCAGCUGCAGAGUGGUGGGAUACUAGACCCUGUAACUGGGGAUCGCCUAGGGGUGGAGGAAGCCAUCCAGACGGACCUGCUCUCACCUCAUUUGGCCCUUCUGGUGCUCGAGUCCCUCUGGGCUUUUAUAGGGAUGCUCUGGCCUGAGUCAGGGGAGCUGCUGCCCAUUGCAGAGGCUCUACAACAAGGGGUAAUCUCGGGAGAACUAGCUUGGAACAUCCUGAGACAACGCCAUGCGAUAGGCGCCCUCUACCUUCCGGAAACCCCCAAGGUUGUGUCCCUGAAUCAGGCUAAGGAGGUCCUUGAACCCAAAGUGGCUGAGAUUCUGAAGGAGAUUCAGAUCCCAGAUGUGCUACACAAUAUGAACCAGUCAGGUUCCCCAAAACUGAAUCGCCUAAUCUGGGGCUCCACUGGCACAUCCCAUCCUCCGUCCUCUUCCCCAGGGCUCAACUGUGACCCCUCAUUCCUGGAGAAAAUGGCCCCUGAGGAGCAGGCACAUCACCGCCUGCUUUUCCAUGUAAUGACCCACAGCUAUGUGGAUGCCCAUUCUGGCCAGCGCUUAGUGCUGCUCGAGCCUGAGCUGGUGGAACUUGUCAAGGCUGCUGCUGGUCUGAUCAAUGUGGAUCCUAUACCUGGAGUGGUUGAGGAAGGGUUGAGUUUGACUACAGAAAGACAGGAGUGUAUGGAAGUGGCGGCAGAUGUAUGUUUGCCGGAUACUCCGCAGACAAGGGAAGUUGGAAAGGUCCAAGAAAAGAGUGCAAUAUUCAGCUUGCCUGAAAAAUAUACUUAUCCCAGAAAGAUGGUAGAAGACGCUGAUAAUCAAGGAUGGGAUGGUACACCUGACACAUUGCAGGCUAAUCAAACUGGAAUAAAGGAGAUGGGACAGGUAGACCUUGACUCAACCAUGCGAAUAAGUGAGGAGGUAGAUGGAGGUGUACAUAGAGAAGUAAAAGGCGAAAAGGAUGAAAUGGUUAGUUUUGAAAGUGCCCCGCCCUCAGCUGGACUACUGGAAACGCAAAUGACAGACUCGUAUGAAGAUGGGCUGGUAGCGAUGGAAUCAGAGGGCGCAAGAGAGAGUGGUCACAGGAAGGCGAAGGAGGAGGACUCACUCGUGGAAGAUGUUGACAGUCCACUUGUGGAAGCGUUAGAAAUGUACUCGACACCGGUAAAGCCAGAGACUUUGAUGCCAACCCAAUAUUUCAAAGAACCUGAUAUCUCCCUAUCAGAGGCAGAUGAAAAGGAGAGUGUGCCUGUGAGUGUUGAAGUUAAGUAUGCUGUGAAGGAUACUCAGAGGGUCACAGAGAAGACCCUGCCCCAGGUUAUGGGAUUAGAGGCAGCAGUGGUGAAGAUUGAGGAGGAUGUUGAGCUGGAAAGGUUGGCCUCGGAGCUUCAGCAAGGGGGUCUACUGACUGAAGGAGGGCAACGGCUUCUCCCAGAUGAAGCCGUGGCUCAGGGGGUCCUCCCUGGACACACUGCAGUCAAGCUGAUGGCCAAGGCAGGACUUUUCGGAGGUUUCCUGGAUGUCAGCGCGUGCGAAUCCCUGAGCAUGGAGGAUGUGAUGCAGGAGGGUCUGCUUGACGAAGACCUGAUGUGGCGUGUGCUGAAAUCAGAGAAGACCCUGGCAGGGGUAGUGGAUGUCGAGAAGGGGAAGAUUUGUUCCCUGAAGGAUGCUGCUCAGGCAGGCCUGAUAGACUCCAACACAGCUGCUCGGCUCCUGGAGGCCCAGGUGGUCUCAGGGGGAGUGGUUGACCUGCGAAGAGACAAAAAAGUGUCUGUUACCCUGGCAGCCAAACUUGGGCUGAUAGAGGAGGACCAAAGAGAUAAGCUAUUUGCAUUGGAGAAGUCAUGCCGUGGAAAAGUCUCAGACCCAGAUGCAUCACUCACCAAAGCAACGUUGCAGCUGCAAAUGAAUGGGGUUGUAGAUCCCAAAACUAAGUCACCUGUUCCCCUAAAGCAGGCCCUUGAAAGAGGUUUGCUUGGCCAGGAGGAAGUCUAUCAAGCCUUGUCCCAGCAAGUGGCGGAGGGUGGCAUCGUGCACCACAACUCUGGAGUUAGACUGUCAAUUUCUGAUGCUUUGCAGCGAGGUCUGGUAGACUGUGCCAUAUCCCCAAAACUGUGGGAGUUAGAGCGGGCAUGUCAGGGGGAGGUAGCCCUCUCUUCAAACCCAGAUGCUGCCCUCCUCCAGGCAUCCACAGGUGCCAUUUUGGACCCCGAUUUAAAGUGUAGACUUACAUUGACAGAGGCUGUCUCUGAUGGUCUGCUAAAUGAGAGCAUUGCCAAGAAAGCAAUGGUUUCUCCAGGUGUAACAGAAGGUAUUUUGGAUCCACAAAGUGCCCAAAUUGUGCCUUACUCAGACCUUGUAAACCAAGGCAAGAUUGACAUUAAGAGUGGAAAGCGCUUCUUGGAAGUGAAGCCUUUCAAGGGAAUCCAGGAUAAGCAAACAGGUGAAAUCCUGAACCUAGCUAAAGCAAUUGCAUCUCAACAAGUUGAUCCAGUCCCAGCACUCAGAAUGUUGCAAAGCCAGGCAGACACUGGAGGGAUUAUUGAUAUUUCCAAUGGAGCUAGGCUCCCUCUGCCUAAAGCCUCUAAGAAAGGGCUGGUGGGAGAACAUAUGGCCAGGCUCAUUGCCACCAACCAGGUUCUGAAAGGGGGCUUGCUUGACCCUUCCACUGGGCAGAGAGUCUCAAGCCUGAAGAAAGCUGUCAAAGAUGGGCUUAUAUCCAGAGAAAUGGCUGCAGAGCUCCAGGACAACUUGGGCUCCACGGAAGUAGAAUGUGACGAUGAGGAUAGUUCAACACCCGUUGCCUCUUCAAGUGGGACCUAUAGUCCUGCAGACACAUUAUCAAUAUCCAGUCCAGACAGCCAAACCAGACAGCCAAACCGAACCAAACCAAUAAUUAUCGAAACCUCUGAAGUGAUAUCUCCAACCCCGCAUCCAGAAGAGGCGGAAAAAAGGUACAGCAUUUUGAUGAUCGCGGAGGACAUUGCGAAGACUCUAGAAGCUGCAACAUUCACGCAGUCAGGAGCAAUGCAACACCAUGGCUCUGUUUACAUUGAAGACGAGAUGGAAGAGGAACAGGCCUCAAUAACCGGGAAGUCAUCGGAAAUUGAGUCAAACCAGUCAAUCAAUUUGUUGGCUCCGUUUACAAACUUUGCAGAGAAAAGGCUUCAGCAGGCCCUUCUGGAAAUGGAGACGCCGCAAGAUGUUACUGUUGGAACACCAGAAAAAGAUAACAAAAAUGUGUCUAGAUCAGUGGGUGAAAGAAGUUCAAUCAUGUUGCAGGGGCAGUCUGCUUUGGGCAAAGAACCACGGAUGGAUUCGACAGUGGCCAUUGGCAGAGAAGGUAGAGAUCAAGAGGGCAGCAUAGACAUGUCUACCCUAGUUGAGAGAGAUGAAGGGAAGACACAUGUGGUAGAAGACAGUACUGAGAGAGUGGUGGAGCAUGGUAGAAUGGAGGUUGAGCAGGAUACAAAGAUUGAGGCCAGAGAGCGUGAUGAUCUUGGACAUGUGUCGGUCAAUUCUAAGGAGGCCGAAGGUAAGAGCAAAAAGAAGAGGAAGAAUAAGAAGAAAGGAAAAGGAAAGGAGGUCGAUACCUCAGAAAAAGCUGAUAAACAGAAAACGGAAAACAAAGACCAGAAUGCACAUUCAGAGGGUAAAGGUCAUAAUUGUAAGGACACAGGUGCUGGGUCCACUGGAGGUUAUGUUACCCUACAGGAGAAAGAGGAGUCACCUGUGCAAGAUGUUCAAUCUGCACUCAAAGGUGCUAAGGUACAGACUGUUGAGAGGUUCGGCGAUCCAAAGGGUAUUGGCAAAGUAAGGGAAGGUUCUACAGUUCCACCAGGAGCCAUAGAAGAUGCUCCCGAGGUAGAGAGAGAGGGUACGGAGAACAAGGUCUUCUUGGUUCAAAGACGGGUAGAGAAGAACAAAACAUCCAAGAUAUCUAAAGCAUCAGAGAAGGUUGAACCUGUGACAGAAGAGAUACCAUCCAUCUGCGAUCAAGCCGAUUCUAAAGUGGCACUAACGAGGGCUCUUCUCGAAAGCUUAGACAAAAAGUCUAAGAUACCCAUAGGAGCAGAAAAGGUUGAACCAGCGACAGAGGAGAGAUCAUCCGUCCACAAGGAUGAGCAAAAGUGGGAGGUGGAGCAGAUUGUGGAAAAGAGUGAUCCAGAUGGGGCGGAGACAGUUUCUCAACAGACUGGACAGCAGGAGCAUAAGGAUAGGAAAGAGGUGGAAUUCACUCUGAAAACCACCCCAGUAGCCAAUGAUAAAGAGGCCCUUUUACUGAAGGCAAAAGAGAGCAUUCUGAGGAAGGUGUUGGGGCGUGGUGUUAGUGAGAAGCAAGCUGCAGAGAAGCUAGUGGCACUGCGUCAGGUAGUGGGGAAGAGAGAGAGUUUGGUGACGUCCGAAGAGGAGGUUAAGACUGUGGGGAGUCCUCCUGAGGUUUCACCAGAAGAGAGGGAGGGCAAGGAAAUUGACAAGAAGGGAGAAGGAGAAAGGGAGAAAGUUGCGCCUGACCAUUCUACAGUAACUGUAGCAGCAGAGGAAGUGAGGAAGGCUUUAGAAGUAGAGAAAGAGGAGAAAGUUGCGCCUGACCAUUCUACAGUAACUGUAGCAGCAGAGGAAGUGAAGAAGGCUUUAGAAGUAGAGAAAGAGGAGAAAGUUGCACCUGACCAUUCUACAGUAACUGUAGCAGCAGAGGAAGUGAAGAAGGCUUUAGAAGUAGAGAAAGAGGAGAAAGUUGCACCUGACCAUUCUACAGUAACUGUAGCAGCAGAGGAAGUGAAGAAGGCUUUAGAAGUAGAGAAAGAGGAGAAAGUUGCACCUGACCAUUCUACAGUAACUGUAGCAGCAGAGGAAGUGAAGAAGGCUUUAGAAGUAGAGAAAGAGGAGAAAGUUGCACCUGACCAUUCUACAGUAACUGUAGCAGCAGAGGAAGUGAAGAAGGCCUUAGAAGUAGAGAAAGAGGAGAAAGUUGCACCUGACCAUUCUGCAGUAACUGUAGCAGCAGAGGAAGUGAAGAAGGCCUUAGAAGUAGAGAAAGAGGAGAAAGUUGCACCUGACCAUUCUGCAGUAACUGUAGCAGCAGAGGAAGUGAAGAAGGCCUUAGAAGUAGAGAAAGAGGAGAAUGUUGCACCUGACCAUUCUGCAGUAACUGUAGCAGCAGAGGAAGUGAAGAAGGCCUUAGAAGUAGAGAAAGAGGAGAAAGUUGCGCCUGACCAUUCUACAGUAACUGUAGCAGCAGAGGAAGUGAAGAAGGCCUUAGAAGUAGAGAAAGAGGAGAAAGUUGCACCUGACCAUUCUGCAGUAACUGUAGCAGCAGAGGAAGUGAAGAAGGCCUUAGAAGUAGAGAAAGAGGAGAAAGUUGCGCCUGACCAUUCUACAGUAACUGUAGCAGCAGAGGAAUUGAAGGCUUUAGAAGUAGAGAAAGUUGCACCUGACCAUUCUACAGUAACUGUAGCAGCAGAGGAAGUGAAGAAGGCCUUAGAAGUAGAGAAAGAGGAGAAUGUUGCGCCUGACCAUUCUACAGUAACUGUAGCAGCAGAGGAAUUGAAGGCUUUAGAAGUAGAGAAAGAGGAGAAAGUUGCGCCUGACCAUUUUACAGUAACUGUAUCAGCAGAGGAAGUGAAGAAGGCUUUAGAAGUAGAGAAAGAGGAGAAAGUUGCGCCUGACCAUUCUACAGUAACUGUAGCAGCAGAGGAAGUGAAGAAGGCUUUAGAAGUAGUGAAAGAGGAGAAAGUUGCGCCUGACCAUUUUACAGUAACUGUAUCAGCAGAGGAAGUGAAGAAGGCCUUAGAAGUAGAGAAAGAGGAGAAAGUUGCACCUGACCAUUUUACAGUAACUGUAGCAGCAGAGGAAGUGAAGAAGGCUUUAGAAGUAGAGAAAGAGGAGAAAGUUGCACCUGACCAUUCUACAGUAACUGUAGCAGCAGAGGAAGUGAAGAAGGCUUUAGAAGUAGAGAAAGAGGAGAAAGUUGCACCUGACCAUUCUACAGUAACUGUAGCAGCAGAGGAAGUGAAGAAGGCUUUAGAAGUAGAGAAAGAGGAGAAAGUUGCACCUGACCAUUCUGCAGUAACUGUAACAGCAGAGGAAGUGAAGAAGGCUUUAGAAGUAGAGAAAGAGGAGAAAGUUGCACCUGACCAUUCUACAGUAACUGUAGCAGCAGAGGAAGUGAAGAAGGCUUUAGAAGUAGAGAAAGAGGAGAACGUUGCACCUGACCAUUCUACAGUAACUGUAGCAGCAGAGGAAGUGAAGAAGGCUUUAGAAGUAGAGAAAGAGGAGAACGUUCGAUCAGACCAGUCUAAAAGGGAAGAGGAAGGGGAGAAGGUUGUGUUAGACCAGAUUGAAGAAGGAAAGGAGGAGGAUACAUCUCUACCAGACCAGCUUAAAGAGUCCAAGUCGGGAAAGAAAAAUAAAAAGAACAAAAAGUCUAAGAUGGUAGAAAAAGUUGAACCUGCGACAGAGGAGAAGCCAUCCAUCCACAUUAGAGCAGAUUCAACACCGGCUGAUGUUGACAGCUCAGUCUCUGGGGAUGAGCAGAAGACUGAGAAGCAGCAAGACGGUCAAUCAGACAGUGAUGUAACAAGGGUGGCAAGGGGUGACGAGAUGAACAAAAUGGCUGCCUUUACUAAGAGUCCUAGUGGAGUUGACACCAAUCAACAAAGAUCGACCCACACCACUGCACCAUACCAAGUUGAUGUACAUCUGGAGGAGAAAACUGAGGAGGCCAUUUCUUUGGGGAGAGAAACUGAUCCGCGUGGCAAAGAAAUUGAACAAUUUAGGAUCGGUACACCUGAGAAAGAUGUCCACCCAGACGCCCAUCGUGUUGACAUUGUGGAUGCCUCUCCUGAAGCCCUUGUAUCCAUGUCGGGCGCCCAUCUGGUCAAGGCCUCUGUGGCACCUGCGACCCAGCCGGCUAAAACCACUGGCAAAAUGAAGAAGAAGAAGAAGAAACAACAGAAGGAGCAGAAACUCGACAGUCCCACUGAAAAUGAAUCUAAAGAGGAAAAGUACCUUGAGUCCACAGAAUCAGGACGGUCCUGGUCUGUUGAGACCCCACGGUCUGAUGAGAUUGUUGAAUCUGAUACAACAGAUGUACCUGAUUCUGAGACAACUGACAGCUGGAAGGAGGAUGGAGAAAUCCAAGCAUUGGAGAUAACAAAAGAGAAAAGCCCAGCUAAGAAGGGAAAGUCCUCGUUGCUCCGCCAGGAAUGCCUGGAACGUGACCAGCAAAUUGUGGCUCUGCUCUCUAUGGUGAGACACAUCGAGGUCCGCGUCAAGCAGCAGCAGCAACAGUCGAUUGGUCGCAGCCUCAUUGCUCUUGAUGACAUCAUCAAACAAACAGAUACCUUGGAUCUGGAACUUCGGGAUUUAGAACCCCAGGUCAACAAGGCAGUGGAUGCUGCUGGGCAGCUGCUGGAGCCCCGCCCACAGGAAGUCCCACCUCAGCUACUAUUGGCCUUGGAGAAGGAUGGCCGAAGCUUAGCUCGAGGUUACAAGGCUGCCAGAGGGGUCUCUGAAAACAUCCUGCAGGGGCUGCACGCACACAGAGACGCAUAUACGGAGGCAUUGACUGGAGAACAGAAGUCACUUGGAGGGCGAGUCGAGGAUAUUCUCUUCUGGCUGAAGGAGACUGAGGCACAAAUAACAGGAAUGGAUGGACAAACCCAGGGCGAGACUCCUGCUCAGCUCACACAACGGCUCCAGCUGUGCAAGGAGUUGCAGUCGUCUCUCUCGGCCCGCUCCAAUGACGUCAACACGGUGGCCUUUGACAUCCAGGUGUUCAUCUCGGAGCGGGCUCAGGACCUGGCUCCCGAACAGAGCAGGCACCUCCUGGGGCAGCUACAACAGCUCCAGAGGGGCUUCCACCGAGCGGCCGGCCAAGCCCACGCCAAGGCCGACGCCCUCGCCGCCCAGAGAGAGAUGGAGGAGGAGAGGCAGCACAGGCGCAAAGAAAAAGAAGAAGAGGAGAAGGAGAGAGAAAGAGCGAGAGAGAGUGCAAGGGAGAGAGAGGUGGUGCAGCAGCAGAAGGCAGAAUGCUCACAGAAAUUGGAAGGCCUUACGAUGUGGUUGGCUGGAGCGGCCAGCAUGCUGGCCAAUCAAAGAGCGGGAGCCGAGUCAGGUGACGUGAAUGUGCUGCAGCAGAAACAGAGAGAGUUAAAGGAAGUACAGAAGGACUUGCUGACCAGAGGCGAGGGCGUGGCGGAGACCAUCCGCUCGGUGGAGGAGUUCCUGGCGGAGCACGGUGACAGCCUGAGUCCAGAGGAGAAGGCCAACCUCCAGGGGGCACUGUCCCGUAUGAAGGAGCAGUACAGUGCACUGACCGACACGGCCCAGUCCUCCCUGGUCCAGCUAGACACGGCCAUCAGCACCACCGUCCAACAGAACACACAGAGGGCGAAGGCAGUAGAGGAGCUGCAGGAGACUCGGGGCCAGAUCGACUCGCUGCUAGAGGAGCUCUCCUCACUCAACCAGCCUGGGAUGACCGUUACUGACCACCUCUCCUCGUCCUCCUCCACAUCGCCAGAGGGAGGUCUCCAAUCACACAGCGACAUGCUCCAGGCAGAGCUCCAGCAGCUCCAGGCACAGCAGGCCCAACUGAUGCAGGUGUCCCAGAACGCUCGCUCCCUCCUGGACCAGCCCGACUCGGCAGUGCCAGCCGAGGAGAAACGCCGUCUGCGGGACCAGCUUGACCAGCUCCAGACCCAACACCAGGAGAAGCUGCGGGCCUGCCAGGAGAGGUUGAGGCGCUCGGAGGCCCUUAAGGACGAACUGGCCAAGUUCCUCCAGGAGCACGGAGGCCUGGGGACCUGGCUGGAACAGAGUGAGGGGGAGCUGGGUUCCCUGGGGGAAGGAGAGACUGACGCACAGGGCCUGAAGGGGAGACUGGAAGAGCACAGGAAGCUGGCGGAGGAUGUGAUCUGCCACAAGGCAGACCUGCGCUUUGUGUCCAUCUCUGGUCAGAAGGUGCUGGACUCUGUCCAGGGGGCUCUGGAGAAGCUAGGAGGGUCUGACCCAGCCCUGGAGGAGACCAAGCAGCUGGUCACGGGCAAGCUACAGGACGCCAACCACCGCUACACCGCACUGCACACCAAGUCGUCAGAUCUGGGCGGGCGUCUGUCGGGUCUGUUGGAGCGCUGCCAGCAGUACCAGGACGAGGCUGUGUCGCUCCACACCUGGCUCAGCACCCAGGAACAGAACCAGAGUAUAGCCGGACCCAGUGGCGAGACGGACACACAGACACUACAGAACACACUGCGGGCCGUACAGCUGUUGCAGGAUGAGCUGGCGGAGAGGUCAGUCCAGUUGGAGAAGGUGAGGAGGUCAGGUAGAGAGCUGGCCGACGCACGGGAGUCCCCCACUCUCAGAGCUGCUGAGAUCACCAGCACUGCAGAUGGUCUGGAGAAGAGGUUCAGCUCUCUGUCUCGGUCCGUGUCGGAGCGGGCUGAGCAGCUCCAGACGUCCGUAGCCCAGUCGGUCAGUGUCCAGGAGGGGCUGAAGGGUCUGCUAGCCUGGCUGGACGGCCUGCUGCUGACCCCCGGGCCCGUCCAACCUACCGCCCAGGCUGUCCAGGACGCCCUCACACAGAAUCAGAAACUACGCCAGGAGCUGUUAUCCAGACAGGGAAGUGUGGAGGCCACCUGCGACUCUGUCUCCAAACUGCUCCAGAGCUCUGACGCCUCCACGGCCUCCGGGCUCCAGGCAUCACUAGAGAGCCUGACCCAGAGCUACGCCGCGGCACAGGCCAAGCAGGCCGAGAGGGAGGCUGAGCUCCGGGGGCUCCUGCCCAAGCUGGAGAACUAUGAGAGACUGAGUGCAGACCUGCAGGGUUUCACUCAGACCUGCCUGAGAGCUCUGAGCCCUGUGGGACAGCCUGACCGCAGUGUGGAGGACUACAGACAGACCAUAGAGGGGGUGAGAGCGGAGCAGGAGCAGGAGGCAGGUCACCUGAAGUCCUUCUGCCAGCUGGGGACAGACCUGAGCCAAGCCAAGGCCCUGACCAGCACACAGACCCUACUGGACAAUGUCAGAGAGGUGUCCGAUGAGUUCGCCCGACUGGAAUCCAACAUCAAUGAAAGGUACAAUGCCAUCCAGAGUUGUGAGCAUCAGUUGGGCCAGUUCCGGUCUCUCUCUAGCUCCCUCCUCAGGUGGCUCCAGACAACACAGGAGCAGCUGCCUCUCAAAGAGCCCAACGUCAACACAGAGGCCCUGCAGAGGAGAGUGCAGCAGCUCAAGGACUUGCUGAGUGACUGGGAGGCCCAAGGGGUUCGGGUUCUGGAGCUGAACAAGACUGGAUCAGAACUGGAGACCCUUAUCAUAAACAUCACAGCCCCCCAGACCAAGACAGGUGUUCCCCAGGUCAAUGGUGCAGGAAGCCCCAGCAGUGUCAAUGGCAUUCACACAUGCAAAGACCUGACAGAGCUGCAGGUUGCGGUGGCGGAAGUGAACGGUCGUUACGAGGAGCUGGGAGAGGAACUGAAGGACCGACAGUCGCGCCAGGAGGCCUCUCUGGAGCUGAGGCAGAAGGCCAGGCAGAGCACCGAGGAGCUCAGCCGCUGGCUGGGAGACCGGGAGAACAGCCUGCACCUGGGCCAGACUGCCGCCUCCCCCUCCAAACCGGAGGUGGUACGCGCCCAGGCCCAGGAGAACAAGGCCUUACUGUCUGAGCUGGCAGAGCAUUCUGGGAAGGUGAAGGAGCUGAAGAGCACCCUGGAGAAGCUGAUAGCAGACAACCCAGACUCCCCAGAGGCAGACACCUGGAGACAACAAAUGAAGGAGAUCGACUCCCGCUGGGCAAAGGCCAAUGAGGCGGCGGUACAGAGGCAGGUGGAACUGGAGACCUGUGCUGAUAGGCUGGGCAGCUUUGCCACAGCAGCCAGUCAGUUGGGGCCGUGGCUCAAAGAGAAGGAGCUGAUGAUGAGUGUGCUGGGACCCCUGAGCAUCGACCCCAACAUGUUGAACACCCAGAAUCAACAAGUGCAGUUCAUGCUGCGUGAGUUUGACACCCGCCGGCCCCAGUUCGACCAACUCACCCAGGCGGCCGAGGGCAUCCUUUCACCGUCUGGUGGCGACUCCUCCCCGCAGGAUGCCAAGGACCUAGCGGAGGUCCGGUCGGAGCUGGGCUCCAUCUCGCAGCAGUGGGACGACCUCACUCAACGUCUGUCCCGGCGCUCCGGGCACAUCGGCCAGGCUCAGGGCACCAGCGAGCGAUACCAGGCCCUGCUGAAGAACCUCUCGGUCAACGUUGGGGCGCUAGGGGAGCGGCUGGACGGCCAAGCCUCGCUCAGUGCCCAGCCCGAGGCCCUGAAACGGCGUCUGCAGGAGACAGGCGAGAUCCGCUCUGAGCUGGAGCAGAGGAGAGAGGAGCUGGGCGAGGCAGAGAAGCUGUGCGGCGAGCUGAGUGCCAUCGUGGUUGAACCUUACCUGAGAGACGAGCUGAAGAAGAGGCUGGAGAGCGUGAGUGGCCCGCUGAGGAGUCUGGAGGAGAGGGCUGCGGACGGUCUAUCCCAGCUCCAAGCCGCUCUCUCCAGCACCCAGCAGUUCCAGCAGAUGUUCGAGGAGCUGCGGAGCUGGCUGGAUAACCAGAGUGGUCAAAGAGACUCUACCGCCGACUCCCUCCCCUGCCAGCCCGAGGCUAUCCGGACCCUGCUUGCCCAGCAAGACGAGCUUCAUCGCGGGGUGGCCAGCCAACGUGGCCCCUACGAGCUCAUCCAGGCCGAGGGGGCCUCCCUGCUCGCCUCGCUACCCGCCGGCGGUGAAGAACGAUCAGCCUUACUGUCCCGGCUUACCGCCUUACGCCAGGACUGGGAUGAGCUCAACCAGUGCAUCACGGAACGCCAGAACCGGCUGAAAUCCGCCCUGACCAAGGCCGAGAGUUAUCAGCAGCACCGCGCCGAGCUCACACCCUGGGUGGUGGAGUGCGAGGAGCGGGAAGCUGACGUCCAGCUCUCACUAGACCCUGCGGCCCUGGAUGAGGCUUUGCAGAAGGCCAGACAGCUGGGGUUGGAUCUAGAGCGCCGACGCCCCCUCCUGGAGGCUUUAAACAUUGCGGCCGACCAACUCCUGGAACACUGCCGCGUCGGAGAGGAAGACGUACGCGACGAAAAAGCCCAACUAAACCGUAGAGUCGACGGGCUGGCAGAAAACCUCCAAAACCGUGUUUCCCAACUGGAAGAGCUAGCGGGUCGACUUAAAGAGUUUGAGGACGGGCGGCAGGCGGUAGAGAGGAGGCUGGAGGCAGCGCGGCAUCAGAUCGAGGUGCAGGAGGCGCUGGGCCCACAGGCGUGCAGCAACAAGAGCCUGGAGCGGCUGAGGAGCCAGCAAGAGACGCUGCAGUCGCUGCAGCCACAGGUGGCCUACCUGAGGGAUCUGGCCCAGGGGCUGGUGCAGGACGCACCCCACACAGCAGGGGGCGGCGGAGGAGGAGAGGGAGGACAGAGGCUGGAGCAGCAGGCCCGAGACACGGACAGAGAGUUUGGAGACGUCAGCGAAAAGAUUGAAAAGUGCUGUUCCACCCUGGAGUCCCGUCUCCAGGGCGUGGGCGAGGUCCAGUCCUCGGUGCGCGACCUCUUCUCCCACCUGGCUGACCUGGACGACGAGCUAGACUCGCUGAGCCCCGUGGGGCGCGACGCCGACUCGCUUGCCUCGCAGGCAGAUGCUGUCCACGUCUUCUUAGCUCGCCUGGCCACGUUGAGGUCGGAGCUCGAAGGUCACGGAGGCGACUGCACCGACAUGCUCCGGCGCGAGGGGUCGUCUCCCGAUCUCCUCGCCCUGAGGAGAGAGACGGAGGCCCUGAGCCGCCAGGCUGGGAAGCUAUCCGAAAGGGGCCAGGCCAGAAUGGGACAGAUCGAGGUGGCUGCCGAGAAGGUGGCAGAGUUCUACGCCAAGGUGGCGGAGCUGCAAGGGCUGCUGGGACGGGCCGAGGAGGGGCUGAACGCGCAGGGCGUGGUGGGGACAGAGGUGGAGACCAUCAAGCAGCAGCUGCAUGAGUUCAAGGCGGUGGAGAGGGAGCAGGUGGACAGUAUUCAACCCAAGCUGCAGCGCGUGAACGCGGUGGGCCAGGGCCUGAUCCAGAGUGCAGCCAAACACACAGACACCCAGGCUCUGGAGCAUGACCUAGAGACCACCAACCUCCGAUGGAACUCCCUCAACAAGAGGGUUGCAGAGCGCAUUGCCCAGUUGCAGGAAGCCCUGUUGCAUUGUGGGAAGUUCCAGGAUGCCCUGGAGCCUCUUCUGAGCUGGCUGAGUGACACAGAGGAGCUGGUAGCCAAUCAGAAGCCCCCGUCGGCCGAAUACAGAGUGGUCAAGGCCCAGAUCCAGGAACAGAAGCUGUUACAAAGACUACUGGACGACCGCAGAGCCACCUUUCAGAUGAUCCAGGGAGAGGGGGAGAGGAUCGCAGCCACGGCCGAGACACAGGACAGAGACAAGAUCCAGAAGCAGCUGGAGAGUCUGGGGGAGAGAUGGGGCGAGCUGCUGGAGAAGGCCAGGGCGAGGCAGCGCCAGUUGGAGGAGCUGCAGACGCUGGCACUCCAGUUCCACGAGGCGGUGGAGCCUCUCGGAGAGUGGCUGAGUGCCACCGAGAGACGCCUGAGCACCGCCGAGCCCAUGGGAACCCAGACUUCCAAGAUCACCCAGCAGAUUACGAAACACAAGGCCGUCCAAGAGGCCGUCUCCUCUAGAGGAGCCGAGGUCGACCGCCUCCAGGCCCUCGGCCAAUCCUUGGCGCCCCUCAGCUGCGCGGCCGACCGCGAUUGGCUGGGGGAGCGCGUGGGGGCGGUGCGGCUAGGCCACUCGGAGCUCAGUGAUUGGUGCCAACGCAGGGCCGUCAUGCUGGAGCAGGCCCUGGCCAAUGCCCAGCUGUUUGGGGAGGAUGAGGUGGAGGUGCUCAACUGGCUGGCUGAGGUGGGCCAGCGGCUGGGACAGGUGUCGGUGCAGAGCUACCAGCCGGGGGUCCUCACCCAGCAGCACAAGCACACUCUGUCUCUGAAUGAAGAGAUAGUGAGCAGGAAGAAGCAGGUUGACCAGGCCAUCAAGAACGGACAGGCCCUGCUCAAGCAAACCACAGGUGAGGAGGUUCUGCUGAUCCAGGAGAAGCUGGACGGUAUCAAGUCUCGCUACGCCGAGAUGACGGGCGGGAGCAGCAGAGCCCUCCGCACACUGGAGCAGGCCCUGCAGCUAAGCACGCGAUUCGCCAGCGCCCACGACGACCUCAACCACUGGCUGGACAAGGUGGAGGCGGAGCUCAACGUCAUGGAGCCCGACGCCACGCCGGCCUAUCAGGACCGACAGAAGGAGCUGAAGUGUGUGUCAGCGGAGAAACGUCUGGUUUUGGAUACGGUCAACGAGGUGGGCAAUGCCCUCUUAGACCUGGUGCCCUGGCGUGCCCGCGAGGGUCUGGACCGCCUGGUGGCGGACGCCAACCAGCGCUACCGAACGGCGGCCGAGACCAUCACCCAGCGGGUAAAGCUGGUACAGGCUGCCAUCCAGAGGUCACAACAGUAUGAGGAGGCGGUGGACGCGGAGCUGACCUGGGCUGGGGAGACGGAGAGGAAGCUAUCCUCCCUGGGUCCUCUGAGUCUGGAGCCUGACGUCACCGUGGCCCAGCUACAGGUCCAGAGGGCCUUUAAUAUCGACAUCAUCCGACACAAAGACACCGUGGACCAGCUACUCCACACCAGGGACGACAUCCUGGAGACGUGCAGCGACCAGCAGAGAGACGCUCUGGUGGAGAAGACUGACUCCCUGUCUGCCCGCUACGAGGCGGUGAGCCAGCAGCACCAGGAGCGAUUCUCAGCCCUGGAGCAGGCCCAGGUCCUGGUGGCCCGUUUCUGGGAGACCCAGGAGGACCUGGAGCCCUGGCUGGGGGAGACGGAGACACUUAUCGCCCAGCUGCCCCCACCCGCCAUCGACACUGAGGCCCUGCGUCUACAACAGGAACAGAUGAGGCUCCUGAGGGAGUCCAUAGCGGAGCACAAGCCCCACAUCGACAAGCUGCUGAAGAUCGGCCCCCAGCUGGCCGCUCUGAGUCACCAGGAGGGGGCCACGGUGAAGCAACGCUACAGCGACGCCGAAAAACGCUACGUGGCCAUCAAGGAGGUCGUCAAGGGUCGCGCCACCACCCUAGAUGAGGCUGUGUCUCAGUCUGCGCAGCUGGUAGAGUUCCACGACAAGAUGGAUCCCCUGCUGGAGACCCUGGAAGGGGCCGUGCAGCGCCUCCGAUCCCCUCCUCCCGUGGCAGCGGAGGCAGAUAAGAUCCGGGAGCAGCUGGCCGACCACAAGGCAACAGGGCUGGAGCUGGACAAACUGCUGCCCUCCUUCUCGGCCCUGUGUGCCCGCGGCGAGGAGCUCAUCAGUAGAGCAGCCCACGACGACCCUGCCGCUCAGGCCGUGCGUUCCCGUCUGCUGCGCCUUCGCUCCCUGUGGGAUGAGAUCCGGCAGAGGGCUGAGGAACGGGAGGGGAAGCUGACGGACGUCUUGGACCUGGCUGGGAAGUUCUGGGCCGACAUGGCGGCGCUACUGAGCACGCUCCGUGACUCGCAGGACAUCGUCAGGGAGCUGGAGGAUCCCGGGGUGGACCCCUCACUCAUCAAACAGCAGAUAGAGGCUGCAGAGGCCAUCAAGGCCGAGACAGACGGGCUGAGGGAGGAGCUGGAGUUUGUACGAACCCUUGGGGCUGACCUCAUCUUCGCCUGCGGAGAAACGGAGAAGCCUGAGGUCAAGAAGACCAUCGACGAGAUGAAUGCCGCCUGGGAAGGCCUGAACCGGACCUGGCGAGAGAGGAUGGAGAGGUUGGAGGAGGCCAUGACGGCUUCUGUGCAGUACCAGGAUGCAUUGCAGAGCAUGUUUGACUACCUGGACAACGCAGUGAUCAAGCUGUGUGACAUGUCCACUGUGGGCACUGAUCUGGGAACUGUCAAACAGCAGAUCGAAGAGCUCAAGCACUACAAGGUGGAGGUGUACCAGCAGCAGAUAGACAUGGAGAAGCUGUGCCACCAGGGGGAGCUGUUGCUCAAGAAGGUCUCGGACCAGACCGACAGAGACAUGAUCCAGGAGCCCCUCACGGAGCUCCGACACCUCUGGGACAACCUGGGGGACAAGAUCACUCACAGACAGCAUAAGUUGGAGGGUGCGCUCCUGGCACUCGGUCAGUUCCAGCAUGCUUUGUCUGAGCUGCAGUCCUGGCUGAGUCACACCCACGCCACCCUGGACACACAGAGACCCGUCAACUCUGACCCCAAGGCCAUCGAGAUAGAACUGGCCAAGCACCACGUGCUGAGGAACGACGUGCUGUCCCAUCGGUCCACGGUGGAGACGGUGAACGCGGCGGGGGCCGAGCUGCUGGAGUCCAGUCCCGGGGACGAGGCCAACCACCUCCGCGGCCAGCUGGACCACCUCAACCGCGGCUGGGAGAACCUGCUACUCAAGACCCAGGACCGACAGAAACUACUGGAGGCCGCACUGCACCAGGCGGAGGGUUUCCAUGGUGAGCUAGAGGAGUUCCUGCAGUGGCUGAGGAGGACAGAGAGCCAGCUGUCUUCAGCCAAACCCACAGGUGGCCUGCCUGAGACGGCCCGGGAGCAGCUGCAGCAGCACCUGGAGCUCCAGACCCAGUUGGCCCAGCGCGCUGAGCAGUACAACCGGCUGCUGGACGCGGGAGAGUCCAUGUUGCUUUCCCGCGGGGGGGAGGAGGGUGGCCCCGGAGCUGGUACGACCCAGACUCAACAGAACUUGGCCCUGCUGCAGAACAAGUGGGCCAGCCUGAACACCAAGAUGGACGACCGCACGGCGAAGCUGGACGAGGCGGUGUCGCUGGCCACAGGGUUCCAGUCCUCCCUCCAGGACACCAUCAACUGGCUGACCCAGGCAGAGCAGACCCUCAACAUGGCCCAGCCCCCCUCCCUCAUCCUGGACACUGUACUCUUUCAGAUAGACGAACACAAGGUGUUUGUGAAUGAGGUGAACACCCACAGGGAGCAGGUGCUGGCCCUGGAGAAGGCCGGUUCUCAGCUGCGUUUCGCCAGUAUAAAGCAGGAUGUGGUUCUGAUCAAGAACCUGCUGCUGAGUGUACAGGCCCGCUGGGACAAGCUGGUGCAGAGGUCCCUGGACCGUGGCAGACACCUCGACGAGGCCCGCAAGAGGGCCAAACAGUUCCAUGAGGCGUGGAGGAAACUGUCUGACUGGCUGGAGGAGGCUGAGAGCCGGCUCGACUCAGAGCUGGAGAUCUCCAACGAACCAGACAAGAUCAGAGUACAACUGACCAAACACAAGGAGUUUCAGAAGGCUCUGGGCUCGAAGCAGCCGGUGUAUGACACCACAGUGAGGUCUGGUAAGGCCAUGAGGGACAAGGCCACGCUGCCCGAAGACACCCAGAAACUAGACCACCUACUGGGGGAGGUCAGGGACAAGUGGGACACCGUUUGUGGGAAGAGUGUGGAGAGGCAACACAAGCUGGAGGAGGCCCUGCUGUUCUCAGGUCAGUUUGCUGAGGCCCUGCAGGCCCUGGUGGACUGGCUGUACCGUGUAGAACCCCAGUUGGCUGAAGACCUGCCAGUCCAUGGAGACCUGGACCUGGUCUCCAACCUCAUGGACUCACACAAGGCCUUCCAGAAGGAGUUGGGGAAGAGGACCACUAGUGUCCACGCCUUGAAGCGCUCAGCCAGAGAACUGAUGGAGACGGGCCGCGACGACACCGCCUGGGUCAAAGUUCAACUGCAAGAGCUCAGCAACCGCUGGGACAUAGUCUGUGCCCUGUCCGUCACCAAGCAGACCCGUCUUCAGCAGGCCCUCAAACAGGCGGAGGAGUUCCGCACGACGGUGCGGCUGCUGCUGGAGUGGCUGUCGGAGGCGGAGCAGACGCUGCGUUUCCGCGGCGUGCUGCCCGAGGAGGCGGAGACUCUGCAGGCGCUGCUCCACACCCACCGGAACUUCAUGGCCACGGUGGAGGAGAAGAGGACAGACGUGAACCGGGCAGCGGGCCAGGGCGAGGCCAUCCUCACCGCGUGCCAGGCCGACUGCAUCACCACCAUCAAACACUGGAUAACCAUUAUCCGCGCCCGCUUCGAAGAGGUCCUCACAUGGGCCAAACAGCACGAGCAGCGUCUGGAGUCGGCUCUGACAGAGCUACUCAACAACGCCACGCUGUUGGAGGAGCUGUUGUCAUGGCUGCAGUGGGCAGAGACCACCCUAGUCCAGCGUGACGGAGAGACCCUUCCACAGGACAUCUCUCAGCUCAAAACACUCAUCACAGAACACCAGGUGUUUAUGGAGGAGAUGACCCGGAAGCAGCCUGACGUGGACAAAGUGACCAAGACUUACAAGAGGAAACCAGCAGAGCCCCCUAGCAGCCUAGCUGAGAGGAGAGGAGCUCGUAAAAACCAGCAGCAACAACAGCAUCAACAGGCGGCGAUGCAGGUCGCCGGGGGCAACCCCCGUCUGACCCAGCUCUGCUCAAGGUGGCAGCAGGUGUGGCUGCUUGCCCUCGACCGCCAGCGGAAGCUCAACGACGCCCUCGACAGGCUUGAAGAGCUGAAAGAGUUUGCCAGCUUUGACUUUGACGUGUGGAGGAAGAAGUACAUGCGCUGGAUGAACCACAAGAAGUCCCGCGUCAUGGACUUCUUCAGACGCAUCGACAAGGACCAGGACGGAAAGAUCACUCGCCAGGAGUUCAUCGACGGCAUCCUGGCCUCAAAGUUCCCCACCAGCAGGUUGGAGAUGACGGCGGUGGCAGACAUCUUUGAUCAGGACGGAGACGGUUACAUCGACUACUACGAGUUUGUGGCGGCGCUGCACCCCAACAAGGACGCCUACCGGCCCACCACCGACGCUGACAAGAUAGAAGACGAGGUGACCAGACAGGUGGCACAGUGUAAAUGUGCCAAGCGGUUCCAGGUGGAGCAGAUAGGAGAGAACAAGUACAGAAUGGGCCAGAGCAAUUACAAGGUGAGUUACACCUGAGUCUACAGUGCUGUGGACGUAAACAACAAUAAUCUUAAAAGCUUUUUUUUGCUUGGACAGCUUCUACUUAGCUAAAUACAGUUUUCAGAUCCUACUUGACGGAGUGAGUCUUGGUAAUGUUAAGAAUAAUGUGCAUUUUUUUUUUUUAAGUUUGCAGUCAUGGUGGGUCUAGGGCUGAAUCUAAAAUGGCACCCUAUUCCCUAUAUAGUGCACAACUUUUGACCAUAGUGCACUACCUUUUGAACAGGGCCCUGGACAAAAGUAGAGCUCUAUAUAGAAGAGAAUAGGUUGUCAUUUCAGACACACCCUAGUGUUUUUUUAGCUGAUGCUGGCUGUGUGUCACUACUACUUUGAGCACCAAUAACUGCUGUUGUUGAACUAACGAAUGACAUCACUCCAUUCCUCACGCAUUUAAAUGUUAGCCAAUAGCAGUAGCACUCAGCUGUAUCCAUGGAAAUGCCGGCUUUGUAAGCAAGCUUCUCUAAGCUUUGCCAUAUACUCCUAUAAGGUGGUCGCAUAUUAUUGACAAUUACGAAGAAAUCCGCGAGCCAAAAAAAGAGCGUCUCACAGGCCGCAUCUGGCCCGCGGACUGUAUGUUGUGCACCCCGAAGCGCUUCAACGUGUCGUGUCUCUGUAGACAUAUCUCUAAUCACAGCACUAUGGGAUUGAUAUGCUGUGUGUGCUUCCCACCAACAAACUAAUAUAACACUAAAUAUAACUUUUAAACCAUAACAUUUAUCACAGCUCCAGGAUUAGCAACUACUACCAUCGCAGUUUUUUGUUGUUGUGAUCUACAUCAUCAUUAUCCAUGGGUUAAUGACCUCCCGUGUCUGGCGAAAGACGCUGGACUAUAAACUAACUGCACCGAGCUUGGGUCACGUGACACCACACCUCUCUGUCUGUCUGACUCUCUUCUUGUGUGUGUCCGGCUUCACCCUUCACUGACGGAUCCAUCUCGCUGUGAAUUGUAAAAAAUUUAAAAAAGUAUUACGUAGAACGUAGAGUGAGCUACAGUUUAAUUUCUCUUUCCAAAUGAGGUCUUCUCCAAUGUCAGGUUUAGUGUGAAGUAUUUUUUUGUCUGUACAAUGUUAUUUCAUUCUUUCUCUUUCUCUUUGUUUAUUCCUCCUCCACGUCUGCUGGAUUUAUUGUAGUUCUUCCUUGGAAACCAGGUAAAUUUGACUCCAGUGUUUGGUCCUUUUGAAAUCUGCUUCCUGGAUCUCCACCAAUGCAGUGGCCUCAAUUCUGCCGCCACAAAAACUGUUGCCAUGGUGACAUUGCAUUUCGUGUUUGACCGGAAAUGACAUAACGCCAUCAAAUAUAGCAUUACACUGUGGGUGCGAAUUAUGGAAGUGGGUUUCAUAGGCCAUUGAGGUUGUUCUCUUGGUGUGAUUUUGCAGAUUUGAAAGACUUCUUUUGAGAAUGACAAUUUGGCAAACUGGAAUGGGUUAUAAUGAUAAGGGUUAUAAUGGGAACCAGGGGUUACCCUAUCUGAUUAGCUUUGGACUGGGGCAAAUUGAAAAAUCAUGCUGUUCUGAGAGUAAUUCAAAAUGGACAUUGGGUCCCUUAUCUGUUUGUGCCGUCUUGCCAACUCUAUGGUCAUUGUCACAAUAAUCAAACAUUACCAAAGAGUUGACAAGACAGCACAAACAGACACAGGCUAAUCAAAGAGAACUCUGACUUGGUAUUGCUUCACAGAAGAGAAACUCUCUGAAAGUGUAAAUGUCCUUCUGCAUGAAACAAAGCUGUCUAAGGUAGAAUGAAACCUUUUAGAGAUGACUAUGGGAACUGAUCUUUUGUUUUAGAUUGUUGGGUAAGCUGGGCUUUUGACAGGUGAUUUUAGUAGUAUCAUCAGUGCAUGGGUGUUGUAGUAUAAUUUGCAUGGAGUGACGUAUACUUUUGCUCUGAUUGGUUUGUGCUGCUGUGUAGAAUGGCUUUUGGAUUCAAAAGAAAUCUCAUGUCAAUAAUCGUUGUACUUGGUUGCACUGAAUUCCUCUCUGUUUCUCCUCUCCGUUGCGGUGUUAGUUUGGAGACUCGCAGCAGUUGCGGUUGGUGCGUAUCCUGCGCAGUACGGUCAUGGUGCGGGUCGGAGGGGGCUGGAUGGCCCUGGAUGAGUUCCUGGUCAAGAACGAUCCCUGCAGAGCCCGAGGCCGUACCAACCUGGAGCUGCGUGAGAAGUUCAUCCUACCGGAGGGGGCUUCCCAGGGCCUGGCAGCGUUCCGUUCCCGUGGCCGGCGCUCCAAACCCGGCUCCCGCACAGCCUCGCCCACCCGCUCCUCCUCCUCAGCCUCACACAGCGCACAUAGCUGCGCCUCCCUGCCCUCCACUCCCGCCACCCCUACUGCCUCCUCCAGAUCCUCAAACUCGCGUGGCUAUGCCAAGCCCUGGCUGGCACACAGUAAAACGCCAACGCCAACCAAGUGCCAGUCCUGCCCAGACCACGACCACACCACCCCUGGGCACGAGGGGGCAGUUUCGGGGUCCAAGCUGAAGAGGCCCACCUUCCACUCCAGCCGAGGGUCUCUGACUGGAGAGAAUGGAGGAGCUACACCCACUUCUACUAAACCUGGACGCACCGACCCCAGGCGUACCCCAUCGGGAGCCAGUGGUGCUGCCAGCCGGGCGGGCAGCAGAGCGGGCAGCAGGGCCAGCAGCCGGCGGGGCAGCGACGCUUCGGAUGCCUCGGAGCUCCUGGAGACGCGCUCGGCCUGCUCGGACACCUCGGACACCCCCCGGCGACCAGGAGCAGCCAAGCCCUCCAAGAUCCCUACCAUCUCCAAGAAGACCCCAAGCCCCAAGACACCCGCUUCUGGGAAGAAGUAGUGAAGGAGACGUGUACAAAACCGUCAUACAUCUAACUAUAGAGCUGGUUUGACUCCACGGGCUACCCCAGCCCCCCCAAACACCAGCCAGGAUGAAAUGGAGAGGAAGAUGUCCAAACUAUACAAUUAGAUCAAGUAGAACGGACCGUCUUCCAUUUCAAAGAGAUGCUCUAUAGUGGACAGACUACUGGCGGCCAUAUUGGGUGUCACAUUUGAUCCAAACAUCCAUCCAUAGGGCUUGCAUGGGAUUCAUGCACCAAGACUACUGUAUGGAAGGCAGGUAGAGAGGGGGAUAGAUGGGGGGGAGAAGUAUCUUUCUCUUUUUUCCCCACUUUCGUACACACACUCACUGGGGGGCCCCGAGGCCCGGGUUCGUGCACUUAGACUGGGGUGAAACAGGACAGAACUUCCCCCUUUAAAACCCAGAUCCCAGUUUGCCUUCCAGUCUCCUGUGCGCUCUCUCUCGUAACGGGAUUGUGCUAAGACUGUUUCAGAGAAAGCCACAGCAGUUUGAACCAACCAACAUGAUGCUGCCUUAUUUGUGUUGCACAUUUCUGUCCUUACUUUUACCUAAUCUGAGUUCCACAGAGCGUUAGGUAGAGCCUUGUAACUACUUUGUGCAUGUACACACUGACACACACACACAACUGAAAUACGCACACACACAUUGAGGGUAGUGAUGAAAUGACUCAGAACUUGCUGGAGAAUGGCAUUCCGAAGAACUGGAUUGUGGGUAUUGUGGAAAGUGUUUCUCACCGGGAGUUAAACAGAAAAUAUCCAAUGACUGCCAUCUUGUUUUUUACUCUCCUGGACUGGGAAGUGAAGAGGAAUUUCACUUCAUGUCUGUGGGUCGGGAACAACCGGACUAGCGUGGAUUUAUGUUCAGUGUGUGGGCUGCCCCACUCUGACAACUGCCUAAACCUCAAGCCUAGGAGACCGUGGAAGUGGUGGGAAACACACAUACACACUGCAAUGUCCUCACAAACCACUGCAACAAUCAGUGUGUUGGUCGGUGGGAGUGUGUGUUUGAUGGAAUGGAGGGUUUGUCAUAUGGCCCCAUUAGUCUGAAGCGAACACUCAGAUUCAAAGAUGACUUCUUGUCGGGACCCCACUAACAGCAAAAACGUGACAAAAUGUGUAACAAUGAAGUGGCUUGUAAGGACAUGCACAAUUUAACACAAUUGAUACUAGGCUUAUUCCAGAUUAGAGAUUGAAAACCGGCGCACACUGACAGUCUGUAUCGCUGUAAUUCCACUUCGCCCCUCUCCCCUCCGUUGCCGCUGGGAACCCCCAGAGCAGCAGACAUAAAUGUUUGUGUAUACGCGUGUCGUCGUAACGCGGUACAGAAAUCAGAGGUCCUCCGCGUGCAUCGCUGUGUGCAAAGAUUUGAUUUGUUGAAUGUCUUUCUUUCAUUCUGAUUAAUUUAUAAUCCUGUUCUAUUUUUUUGUUUGUUGCUUUUCUAGCUUAAGAAAACAGUUUUAUUUAUUUUUCACCUUGGAGAAUGAUUAGUAUUAAGAUGAAUGAAGUCAUGAUAUUUUGUACCAAGGAAAAUGUCCGCUCCUCUCUUCAACGUUGUAUGUUUCUACUUCUUCAUAACAUUACUCAACCAGGAAGCUGACUGAUUCCCAUGGCAGCCUUUUUUUUUUUUUUUUUGCUAAUGACUACAACUCCCAGAACAUGACCAAAGGGGGUUGCCCUUAUUGUGUUGGCAAAAAAAAACUUUGAAUAUGAAUGAAAGGGAGCUGAAGGGGCCAAUGAGAGAACCCCUAGUGUCCCGCCUUAUAGGCGUUUGAAUUGUCAUGUCUUUGAUGGCUGCAAAUGUGCUUCCCUGUUUGUUGAUGUGAGAGCUGAAGUAUAUGAAAACCUACUGAACGCAAGUGACAUCUUAAGGUGAUUUUUAUUUAUUUAUUGUCUCUUUUGGGGGUGGGGAUCCGGGCGCAGGAGAGGAACUCACCUUUUGGUGUUAUUCAGUGUGAUGAAGAGAAAAUAUGGAGGGGGGGGGCGGUUAGAAGACAAUUGUGUAAAAUAAAAAUAUAAGAUUAUAAACCUUUUUGUUCUCAUUUUGUAUUAAAAAAUAUGCUUGCAGUAAAAAAAAGAAA
RNA transcript from Oncorhynchus kisutch (coho salmon), 33277 nucleotides. It is a transcript of the gene named microtubule-actin cross-linking factor 1, with no coding region annotated. Lineage: Eukaryota; Metazoa; Chordata; Actinopteri; Salmoniformes; Salmonidae. The transcript is spliced from 96 exons. The record is from RefSeq and is a predicted model, not a curated record.